CGAGGACUGCGUAUUUCAAGUGAUGAGAAACAAGAGGACAGUGAAUGAAUGUUGACUACUACUGGCAAACACUUCCUCUUUUACAAGUCUUCUCACGCUUUUCCUGGCAGGUUCUUCCAGCAUUAUCACUGCCGACGGUAAGUAUGUAGAAAGUAGGUAUGUUGAAAGUAGAUAUGUAGAAGGUAGAUAUGUAGAAGGCAGGUAUGUAGAAGGUAGGUACGUAGGAGGUAGGUAUGUAGGAGGUAGGUAUGUAGAAGGCAGGUAUGUAGAAGGUAGGUACGUAGGAGAUAGGUAUGUAGGAUGUAGGUAUGUAGGAGGUAGGUAUGUAGGAGGUAGGUGUAGAAGGUAGGUAUGUAGGAGGUAGGUAUGUAGGAGGUAGGUACGUAGGAGGUAGGUGUAGAAGAUAGGUUUGUAGAAGGUAGAUAAGUAGAAGGUAGGUAUGUAGAAGGUAGGUGUAGAAGAUGGGUUUGUAGAGGGUAGAUAGGUAGAAGGUAGGUAUGUGGAAGUAUGUAACUGGGUUCAGAUUAGACGCCAACAGAAACGUUAGAAACUCUCCCGUAGCCAGGAUGCCCCAAAGCGACGCGUGAGUUUGACUGAAUGAGUGCAUAAGAGGCCGAGGAGCGGCGGCGCGGAACAAAGACGGAUGAAGAGAAGCGAGCAGCACGAGCCGCUGAUGUGGAACCAAUGCGAGCUCCGCAGUAGCUGUUGCGCCGAC
Gasterosteus aculeatus aculeatus (three-spined stickleback) is the source of this 715-nucleotide long non-coding RNA. Lineage: Eukaryota; Metazoa; Chordata; Actinopteri; Perciformes; Gasterosteidae. The record is from Ensembl.